RNAcentral lists this non-coding RNA (45 nucleotides) under Schistosoma margrebowiei. Lineage: Eukaryota; Metazoa; Platyhelminthes; Trematoda; Strigeidida; Schistosomatidae. The record is from RNAcentral.
AUCCAUCUGACAAGUCCCAAAUAGGACGAAACACACGUUCUGGAU